This 490-nucleotide ribosomal RNA is filed under the name uncultured bacterium. Its description in RNAcentral is "partial 16S ribosomal RNA". It matches the Rfam family "Bacterial small subunit ribosomal RNA", at positions 30 to 507 of the family's 1533-position model. The record is from RNAcentral.
AUUGAACGCUGGCGGCAGGCCUAACACAUGCAAGUCGAACGGUAACAGGAAGAAGCUUGCUUCUUUGCUGACGAGUGGCGGACGGGUGAGUAAUGUCUGGGAAACUGCCUGAUGGAGGGGGAUAACUACUGGAAACGGUAGCUAAUACCGCAUAACGUCGCAAGACCAAAGAGGGGGACCUUCGGGCCUCUUGCCAUCGGAUGUGCCCAGAUGGGAUUAGCUAGUAGGUGGGGUAACGGCUCACCUAGGCGACGAUCCCUAGCUGGUCUGAGAGGAUGACCAGCCACACUGGAACUGAGACACGGUCCAGACUCCUACGGGAGGCAGCAGUGGGGAAUAUUGCACAAUGGGCGCAAGCCUGAUGCAGCCAUGCCGCGUGUAUGAAGAAGGCCUUCGGGUUGUAAAGUACUUUCAGCGGGGAGGGAGGGAGUAAAGUUAAUACCUUGGCUCAUUGACGUUACCCGCAGAAGAAGCACCGGCUAACUCCGUG